RNAcentral lists this long non-coding RNA (230 nucleotides) under Ananas comosus (pineapple). RNAcentral describes it as "long non-coding RNA (ACOM_LNC019782)". The record is from RNAcentral. Lineage: Eukaryota; Viridiplantae; Streptophyta; Magnoliopsida; Poales; Bromeliaceae.
UUUAAAUUUCUAAUUUUCAAAUUUUAAGUUUGGAUUUUAAAUUUUAAUUUUACAAAAUAAUUUUAGAAAAUUGUCAAACAACUUUAUAAAAUCACUUUAGAAAAAUUAUUUUCUUACAAGACUCAAACAAGUGCUCUAUAGCUUUCGAUUAAAAGCAAUUCUCCAAACCAAAGUCACUUAUGUAGAAAUUACUUAUCCAAAAGCUACGACAAACAAGCCCUAAAUUUGUU